UGUGUGAUUCAGUUCUCUCCUUUCACCCUGUGGAUCUGAGGAAUUAAACUCAGCUCAUUAGCUUCUACAGCAAACAGCUCUACCUACUGACCCAUCUUUUGGAUCUGUUUUGUUUAAUUGUGUUGUAUUAAUAGCUUUUCUAACUAGGAGCAGGUAAUAUCUCAUGCUAUUUUGCAUUUUCCCAGAUGGCUAAACACCUUGAGCAUAGAGCAUAGUUCUUUUGUUUUUAUGUCUAUUAGGCAUUUGUGUUUUUCCUUUGUACAAUGUGUAUUUCUGUAGGUUGAUGUCAUUAUGCAGGUGAAGGCAGGUGCAGGAUAGAACGAGGCCUGUCAUUGGACGAGAAGGUAGGAUGGCUGAGAGAAAAGUUUUAGAGAGGCAGAGGAGGCCUGAGUGAGGAGGAGGGAGCAGAGAGAACGUAUCGGUGGAUGUUAAGAUUCCUCUCUGCACAUAUUACAGGUUGUUAUGACUAUUCUUUUUUUUUUUUUUUUUUGGUUCUUUUUUUCGGAGCUGGGGACCGAACCCAGGGCCUUGCGUUUCCUAGGUAAGCGCUCUACCACUGAGCUAAAUCCCCAGCCCCUGUUAUGACUAUUCUUAAGGAAUGGAUGUGUACAGGAUUUUGUGUUAUCUAGGUGGGUGGUUUAUAUCCUUACCAAUUGGUUGUAAGCUUAUUUGGUGGAUGAAUUGUGGAUUGAGAAUUUAACAUGUAAAUCUGAUUGUUGAGUCUUGAUUUUACCAGGUGCUGGAACCAGAGAGUGCAAGGCUAGGAGAGAGCCACCAGGAGAGAUACUAAUCUGAGAUGACUUAGUGCUAGUUCCAAGGGCCCCUUGGAGCCGGAAAUAGCAACCACCAGGGUAUACAGGAACUGGUUCCGCCACUUUUUUUUUUUAUUUUUACAGCAAAAUGUUUCAAUCACUUACCCCUUUUUAAAUGCCUUGGGGAUACUUUUCUGUUGCAUUUUGUACAUUAUUGUGCAUUUUGUAAAUUAUUGGUUUUUUUUUUUUUUGAGGUUUUAACAUAGUGACAUCGUUUUCCUCUUCCCUGUCCUCCCUUCAAACCAUCCGAUACAGCUACAACACAACUCCUGCACCGAAGACUCAAGGAUAAUUGCAGAAGAAGGAGCAGGAAGAUUGUAAAAGACAGGAACAAGGAAGGAGUUUGUUGUGAGAUCGUCUCCUGGGAAUGCUGGAGGUGUUGUUUUAUAAUCUUGCUGUCUGAAGACUAACAUUGUACUGAAUGAGCCUGCUGUGGAUGACAUCAUCGUCUUUUUCCUGGUUGUGGGGGAAAUGCUUUCAGAUUUCUCCCAUCCAGUGAGAUGAUGACUGUGGACUUGUUGUGUUCAGUUUUAUUAUGAUGCCAACUUUAGGAGCUUUCCUCAUGGAGAAAUGUUGAGCUUUAUCAAAUGCUUGCUAUGUGUCUGCUGAGAUAAUUGUUUGAUUUUUAUCUUUUCCCCUCUUUAUGUGUUGUGAUGAUUUAUAUGUGUUUGGCCCAGGGAGUGACACAAUUAGAAGGUGUUACCUUGUUGGAGGAAGUGUGUCACUAUGGGGGUGGGCUUGGAGACCUUCCUUCUAGAUGCCUGAGGAUGCUCAGGCUGUUCCUGGCUUCCUUCGGGUGAAGAUGUAAAACUCAGCUCCCCCUGCACCAUGCCUGCUUGGAUGCUAUGAUGCUGCCAUGUUCCUGCCUUGAUGAUAAUGGACUGAACCUCUAACCUGCUACUGGGGUUCUGAACAGAAAUCUUCACUGGAAAAAUCAUGCAAUGGCCGAUAUAGAACAGACAGGAGAAAGCAGGACAAAGGCCAGAGAACUGGACUGCUGGUCCAUGAAGAGUUUGUGAGUGGACAGAGCCACUGCUGACCUGUAAACAGAACUGCUGAUUUCCAGACACCACAGACAGGAGUUGCUUCAAAGAACCUUUCUAAACAGGUCCACUUCUCUCCUGUAUCCUUUCUUUCCCACUAACUCUUGGUGGGUGGUGGGCUACAAGGGAGGUUAAAACAUUUAAGAACCAUCAUUAAAAAUAGAUUUUGAAAAAAAAUUAAAAGUUACACAUGAUAAAAUUUAUGGCUGGAAAAUAAAUCAGUGUUAUUUACUGUUGCUAUAUUUAUGGUUUAUAGAGGAAAUAUUUCAUAUUCGUGAUGGUAACCAACAAUAUAUCCUUACCCAUCAAUGCUGAUGUCUUUCUAUGUGUUUGAGGCUUUAUAUAUAUAUAUUUGUGAGUGUAUAUAUACACACAAAUAUAUAUAAACAUAUAUAUAUUUAUAUUUCUUUACAUAUGUAAAUAUGAACACACACAGACAUGCAUAUGACUUUCCACUCCAUUGCAUGUUUAAUCUCUUGAAAAGUAAUAAAGACAAUGAUUUAUAAAAUAAGUGAUUUAGAAAAUGAGCUAAAUGUACAGAUCACUAAAUUGUAAGUCUUAAGAAGUUAUUGUAGCACUAAGAAGUUAUUGUGUGAAAGCCGUAAGAAGUUAUUGUGUGAUGCUGCUUUUGGACUGAGUGACAUUUAAAACAAUCUCAGAGAAUGAGAAACUCUCUUGUUAUCAUUCUGAAAUUACUGAAGCAAAUGUCAAAGUCAAUCUUCAAUCAGCAAAUUCACCUCAUAUUUGCCAUGUGUGUAAAGCCAAUGCCUGUUAAAUAUAACUAUAUAACUUCUGAACCAAAUAAAAACAUUGGUGAAUAAUCACGAUGAAAAUAGAAAGAAUGGAAACAGGCAACCUCAGGAGGUAGAAGGUUGGAAGGACCCCCCUCUCCCAAGAAUGUACCAGAGACCUGGGAGGUGAGAGAUUCUCAGGACUCAAAGGGGGUAAUCCAGGAUGAAAUGCCCUACAAUGAGGAGUGGGAAUUUGUAGAGCCCACUUCCAACAGAAAGACAGGGCCUCGAAUGAGGGAUGGGGUUGCCAUCCCACAGUCAAAACUCUGAUCCAUAAUUGUUCCUGUCUGAAAGAAUUGCAGGGAUGGAAGUGGAGAAGAGCCUGAGGAAAAGAAGGUCCAGCGACAGGUCCAAAGGGGGACCCAGCUCAAGGGGAGGCCCCAAGGUCUGACACUAUUAUUGAGGCUAGGGAGUACUCACAAAAAGGGACCUAUCAUGACUGCCCUCUGAAAGAAAAACAACUGAAAGAGUCAGAUGCAGAUAUGUGCACCCAACCAAUGGACAGAAGCUGCUGACCCCUAUAGUGAAUUAAGGAAAAGCUGAAAGAAACUGAGGAGGAGGGCCACCCUGUAGGAGGACCAGCAGUCUCAACCUAGACCCCCAAGAUCUCUCAGACACUGGACUGCUAACCCCAGCACAUAUACAACAGAGGACUUCUGGGUCUGGGUUCAGUCAGAGAAGAUGCACCUAACCCUCAAGAGACUGGAGGCCCCAGGGAGUGGGGAGGUC
Non-coding RNA from Rattus norvegicus (Norway rat), 3375 nucleotides. The record is from RefSeq and is a predicted model, not a curated record. Lineage: Eukaryota; Metazoa; Chordata; Mammalia; Rodentia; Muridae.